GUUAUUAUUUUUAUGACACGUGUGAUUGUGUUCAAACAAAACAACUUUUUGUUAAUCAUUUGUGUCGCGUUCGAAAAUUGUAUUUUUUUGUAAGCUAGACGGGGGACAUUUAAACCGUUCUACUGAAUUGCCGAGAAAAUCAAAAACCGACCUCCCUAACCGACUGCAGAAACCGAAAUCCGCUAUCGGGUGGCACCGCUAAAGUACGACCGUUGGAACAAGAUUUUCGGUGUAAAAACCGCCCGCACACGGGGGACGGAGGAGAAGCACACGUCGUAACAGGUAGUAAAACCAAUACUUACGCGUCUCGCUCCGGUCAGAACGUAAAAAUAUACACUCUGCCGCGUUGAAAUCCGGUCCCCGUGCAUUUUAAUAACAUACCGUGCAGAGGUGAUAAUAUUAUUAUUAGGUAGGUACCUAUACCAUCAUUGUACGGAUAUUGAAAGUACAUGGUGUAGCGUGUCAAUCAGUAAGUACCUAGUAAUACAUACCUACGAAUAAGUGUAAUAACGGGCGCGGGUACCAAUUAUUGUGCAGCUAUACCGCGGCAGUGAAUUAUUUAAAAAAGAUUUAAUUUUCGCGAAAAUCUCUAGCGUAGCUGUGCGAAUGGUUGCACGCCGCGCGCGGUGUCCAUCUGUACGUG
Cinara cedri is the source of this 643-nucleotide non-coding RNA. Lineage: Eukaryota; Metazoa; Arthropoda; Insecta; Hemiptera; Aphididae. The record is from the annotation of a GenBank genome assembly.